CUCGCUUCUUCGGCUUAUUAGCUAAGAUCAAAGUGUAGUAUCUGUUCUUAUCGUAAAUUUAUUUAAGGUUUUCAACUAUAAAAACAUAAAUGUUUUCAAAUCAAA
RNAcentral lists this small nuclear RNA (105 nucleotides) under Caenorhabditis briggsae. RNAcentral describes it as "U2 spliceosomal RNA". It matches the Rfam family "U2 spliceosomal RNA". From Rfam's summary of the family: U2 is a small nuclear RNA (snRNA) component of the spliceosome (involved in pre-mRNA splicing). Complementary binding between U2 snRNA (in an area lying towards the 5' end but 3' to hairpin I) and the branchpoint sequence (BPS) of the intron results the bulging out of an unpaired adenosine, on the BPS, which initiates a nucleophilic attack at the intronic 5' splice site, thus starting the first of two transesterification reactions that mediate splicing. The record is from Rfam by way of RNAcentral. Lineage: Eukaryota; Metazoa; Nematoda; Chromadorea; Rhabditida; Rhabditidae.